RNAcentral lists this ribosomal RNA (622 nucleotides) under uncultured Phyllobacterium sp. Its description in RNAcentral is "bacterial SSU rRNA". It matches the Rfam family "Bacterial small subunit ribosomal RNA", at positions 98 to 755 of the family's 1533-position model. The record is from RNAcentral. Lineage: Bacteria; Pseudomonadati; Pseudomonadota; Alphaproteobacteria; Hyphomicrobiales; Phyllobacteriaceae.
CUAGACGGGUGAGUAACGCGUGGGAAUCUACCCAUCUCUACGGAAUAACGCAUGGAAACGUGUGCUAAUACCGUAUACGUCCUUCGGGAGAAAGAUUUAUCGGAGAUGGAUGAGCCCGCGUUGGAUUAGCUAGUUGGUGGGGUAAAGGCCUACCAAGGCGACGAUCCAUAGCUGGUCUGAGAGGAUGAUCAGCCACACUGGGACUGAGACACGGCCCAGACUCCUACGGGAGGCAGCAGUGGGGAAUAUUGGACAAUGGGCGCAAGCCUGAUCCAGCCAUGCCGCGUGAGUGAUGAAGGCCCUAGGGUUGUAAAGCUCUUUCACCGGUGAAGAUAAUGACGGUAACCGGAGAAGAAGCCCCGGCUAACUUCGUGCCAGCAGCCGCGGUAAUACGAAGGGGGCUAGCGUUGUUCGGAUUUACUGGGCGUAAAGCGCACGUAGGCGGACUAUUAAGUCAGGGGUGAAAUCCCGGGGCUCAACCCCGGAACUGCCUUUGAUACUGGUAGUCUUGAGUUCGAGAGAGGUGAGUGGAAUUCCGAGUGUAGAGGUGAAAUUCGUAGAUAUUCGGAGGAACACCAGUGGCGAAGGCGGCUCACUGGCUCGAUACUGACGCUGAGGUGCG